RNAcentral lists this transfer RNA (72 nucleotides) under Bos taurus (domestic cattle). It matches the Rfam family "tRNA". From Rfam's summary of the family: Transfer RNA (tRNA) molecules are approximately 80 nucleotides in length. Their secondary structure includes four short double-helical elements and three loops (D, anti-codon, and T loops). Lineage: Eukaryota; Metazoa; Chordata; Mammalia; Artiodactyla; Bovidae. RNAcentral also lists the same sequence under 3 other names. The record is from Rfam by way of RNAcentral.
UCCCUGGUGGCUUAGAUGGUAAAGCGUCUGCCUACAAUGCAGGAGACCCUGGUUCAAACACUGGGUUGGGAA